GAUGAACGCUAGCGGCAGGCUUAACACAUGCAAGUCGAGGGGCAGCGCGGGAGUAGCAAUACUUCUGGCGGCGACCGGCGCAAGGGUGCGUAACGCGUGAGCAACAUACCCACAACAGGGGGAUAAGCGAUGGAAACGUCGUCUAAUACCGCAUAAAACUUAGGGCGGCAUCGUCCGGAGUUGAAACUUACGAGGGUUGUGGAUUGGCUCGCGAGACAUUAGGUAGACGGCGGGGUAACGGCCCACCGUGCCGACGAUGUCUAGGGGUUCUGAGAGGAAGGUCCCCCACACUGGAACUGAGACACGGUCCAGACUCC
Molecule: ribosomal RNA, 317 nt
Filed under: uncultured Bacteroidales bacterium
Lineage: Bacteria; Pseudomonadati; Bacteroidota; Bacteroidia; Bacteroidales
Description: bacterial SSU rRNA
Rfam family: Bacterial small subunit ribosomal RNA
Source: RNAcentral